This is a long non-coding RNA of Pocillopora damicornis (cauliflower coral), 375 nucleotides long. NCBI's taxonomy places the organism in Eukaryota, Metazoa, Cnidaria, Anthozoa, Scleractinia, Pocilloporidae. The record is from RefSeq and is a predicted model, not a curated record.
GUAAACUGCACAAUAGGCUUAGUUCAGUGCGGAAUCAUAAUUCAGCGAAGCGCUGUGCUUUUAUUUUCCAGCCUCACGGUACUGUGAAGAAUGCAGUAAUGGCCACUCAGUGAGAGAGACCCAACGAUGAGUAACAUCAAGGCGUAUUUACAUGUCGUGUACGCCGCUUUCGGUGACGCCUCCAUUUUGGAAUUUCAAUCAGGCAACAAGCGUCGAUUUUAUUUGGUGGAUGGGGGCCCAAUCCGGUAUACUGGUGCAGGGGGAACAGAAGACAACAGAGCCAAGAAACUGACCAAGCUACAAUUAACUCACCCCUACUAUCAAUACGUUCUUUACACUCUGACGAGUUUGGCAAAGAUUCCAAACAGUACAGGU